UGCGGAAUAGAGCAGUUGGUUAGCUCGUUAGCCUCAUAAGCUAAAGGUCAUGGGUUCGAGUCCCAUUUCCGCAA
This 74-nucleotide transfer RNA is filed under the name bacterium. RNAcentral's name for it is "tRNA-Met". It matches the Rfam family "tRNA". Rfam says of the family: Transfer RNA (tRNA) molecules are approximately 80 nucleotides in length. The record is from RNAcentral.